This is a non-coding RNA of Pelobates cultripes (western spadefoot toad), 212 nucleotides long. NCBI's taxonomy places the organism in Eukaryota, Metazoa, Chordata, Amphibia, Anura, Pelobatidae. The record is from the annotation of a GenBank genome assembly.
ACUUUUUAGCACCCAAAAAAAAUUAAGUUUUAAAACUGCAAUGUGACAGCAGUAUUUGACGAUUCUAUUUGACUCUCAGAUAUGAAGUGCACCCCACUAAUGUACUACCCCACUAAUGUACUAUUUAGCACCAAAAAAAAUUUACUUUUUAAAACUUCGAUGUAACCGCGGUAUUUGAAGCUACUAUUUGACUCUUAGAUAUGAAGUGCAGC